UAAUCUGCUAUUGAUCAAAUACUUGUAUAAUUUAUCUCAAGUAUCACAGUCCAGAUCAUUAAUGUAUUGUUUGUGUUUCUAUCAUGCUAGAUUUUGUUUCAAGUUCAUUUCAUGUGUAAGCAAAUUUAGAGUGUUGAAGUCGUAGUGAAUUAAAUAACAUUUGGAACCUUUGUCUAACAAUCUUUGUCCAAGUCCAAGAUGAACAGGGCAAUCGGUUUUCCAAGAUUGAAAAUUCAUGAAUAAACAGUUGUGAUGCAAAUUUACAGAACCUGAAACUUGAUGAUAGUUACUUCAGUGUGCGCGCACCUUUUGCCAUAUUUUACGUACUAUACAACUACUUUGCUUUUGUCCGAUGAAAACUGUUUGCGACACCUGGCAGCUUGGCCUCCUGGGAAGAAGAGACGAGGGAGAGAGAGGAGGUGAGAUGGAGAGAAGAGAAGGAGGCGGGACGACUUAGACCAGUGUGGCCCUCACUUCAUUACUGCUUUGCCUUGGUUGGCACCGGACACACGGGCCCCGCACAAGCAUGGUCUCGGAUGUCUCUGCUAUGGGAACACAUUGCCGGAUCGCUCUCAUCUAUGACUGUUCAUAUUCCAUGCAUCAUGCCACUCCGAUGGUGUAAAGCUAGCUGUCGUGAUUGUUUGGGUGGUGCACAGCCAGUGUUUGUUGGAAUGCCUAUGCGACAACAGCUCACAACCUCAUGUAGUGCUUGAGAAAACCUGAGAAUAUUGAGAAGCUUCGUGCUGCGAGUGCGAGGAGAUGAACAAGUACUUCUCUCACUGCAAGGUACGAUCAUCAGUUAGUGUCUACAAUCUUCUUUCUCGGAAAAUAGGGGAUUUAUAUCAGCGUGCCAUCACUGCAAGGAAUCAUCACCGUCUCAACGGCGGCAACAGCGGAUACAGAACAACUGAUGCGGCCUGAAGUGGACCUCAUUCAACCUUAACUCCAGGUAUAGUAAUAACUAUCUUGCUGCUUAAUUACCUCCUCUACUAUAUAGCCAUUAGAACUGAUCCACAUAUACUGUAUAGGUAAUUAGCUUUUGCUGGGUCCAGUUGAGUAUCUCCUGGUCUUUUGAACUUCUUUUUUCAUGCACAUUAUUCGAUGGUGUUUUGAAAAGGCAUACGGCAGUUGUUGUUUUGGAGUUUUGAAACUAUUUCUCUUGCUAUUCUUGCCUCGCAGAAGGCAGGCAAUGCACGGCAAGCUAUUUCACCUACUUGUUAGAUAUUGCAUCCUUAUUUAUUCUCAACACAUGACAAGUUGAGUUGUUUCUAUUCAUAUAUCCUGUAGUAGGAUACACACACAGAUAUUUUGUAAUGUUGUAGCCAACAAAGAGGCACAAAAGAGCAGAUGCAAGUUGCUGUCAACUGGCGCUCCAUCUGGAUUCGGAAUUCAUUUUCAUAUGGGAUGCAUUUUGUGCAGUAAAAAAACCAUUGGCUAGGAAGAAAUAAAAUCAUGAAUUUCCAGCCAAUCAACUACCAAAUAUAGGCCCUUGACAGCAGCAUUAAUUCUGUCUCAUACUUAAAUUUAGUUACGGCAUGUUGGCUUAGGUUGUUCAUAUAAAUUUUCUUAUUAAUUAUGUGGCAUAUCACUUAAUGAGGUUGCCUGUGUGGUAUAUGUUUGGGGCAACUCGGUUUUUUCUAGAGGCCAGAGCUCAGUGUCUAAUCGCAUCAAAGCAUGCUGCUGUUUAGCAUGAUCGGCAUAGCUUACAGUUUUUGUUAAACUGAAUUAGCGAAUAUAUGUUGCUUUUUCACGUGCGCACCAUGUCAUUUGAGACAAUUUCAAGAUCUUAGAAAUUAGCCCCAAGCUUCAAAAUUCCAACAAACUAAUACAAAGAUGAGAUUAUUCAUUUAAAAUUAGCAAGUUAUGAGAGGAGGUUUUGCAUAAAGUAAUUCUACAUGGCGUAAGAUUACAAUAUUCAUUGUAGCAAGAUUUUCUUUCUAAUCUGCGGCACCGUCAAAUUGGACAUCCAUCAUGGUUCAUGACAUUAGGCAUCAAGGAUAGAAGCAUAUAUGUUGGAUAUCUAUGACAUAAAGAGAUUAUCGUUUCAACUACUUGACCUAUCAGUGUUUGGUUAGUUCAAUCAAAUUUAUAGAUUUACUGUUGAUUGUUUGGAUGGUUGGUUAGGAAAGUGAAAAGGAAACUCUUUGAUGUUGACAACUUAGUUUCUCUGUGGUAAUGACAAACUUCUUAAUUUACUCACAAGUGAGGAUCUGAUGUCAGUUAUUUUGUGGAUCAAACCUGCCAGCAAUGACCUUACUUGAACAAUAUCUAUUCUGUGGGAUCAUACCGCUGGAAACGUGCCAGCAAGUAAAUUUGUUGGCAUUUUAUUCUGUUUCAGGAUAACUUUUCUUUUUGUUGCUCAAUAAAAGGAAUAUCCCUCUUCGUAAAUCUAUUAUUUCGCUUUCCCAUGAAGCUGUAGUUCUCUCCAAAUAAUUUUGAGAUUACACUAAGCAGAAGCUGCUAAACAUGCCGUGGAAGCUGAUGCAAAAUCAAACAGUAAAGAGGAGGUUGCUCUGUGUUGCCAUUGUUGUAUGAAUAUAAUGCGACCUUCUGCUAUUGUAUGAAGAAAAGUAUGUGCAUAACUGCAUACUUGCAGGAAUAGAAGAUAGAUAAAUAUGACCUUGCUUACAGAUUGUUGUGUAGAUAAAAUUGACCUUGCUUACAGAUUUUGUUGUAUGUAUUUUUUUUGGUAUUGUUGACCGAGAUAGAUAGAAUAUGGUAGAAGAAAGAGGUGCAGAUUGUUGUAUGGCCAUAUUGUACAUGGUGAUCAUUGUUGUAUUUAUUUUACAUAGAUAGAAUAAUGAUGUAGAUAUAGAGGGUUUUCGCAUAUGUACCAAUUUUCAUAGGAACUAUGAUUAUGUAUGACUGGUAUAUGGUGCACAAAUCAGUCAUAUACUCA
Molecule: long non-coding RNA, 2899 nt
Organism: Triticum aestivum (bread wheat)
Lineage: Eukaryota; Viridiplantae; Streptophyta; Magnoliopsida; Poales; Poaceae
Exons: 2
Source: RefSeq, a predicted model, not a curated record